RNAcentral lists this ribosomal RNA (394 nucleotides) under uncultured bacterium. RNAcentral's name for it is "partial 16S ribosomal RNA". It matches the Rfam family "Bacterial small subunit ribosomal RNA", at positions 338 to 729 of the family's 1533-position model. The record is from RNAcentral.
CCUACGGGUGGCAGCAGUGAGGAAUAUUGGUCAAUGGUCGAAAGACUGAACCAGCCAAGUAGCGUGAAGGAUGACUGCCCUAUGGGUUGUAAACUUCUUUUAUACAGGAAUAAAACGAGGCACGUGUGCCUUUUUGCAUGUACCUUAUGAAUAAGGAUCGGCUAAAUCCGUGCCAGCAGCCGCGGUAAUACGGAGGAUCCGAGCGUUAUCCGGAUUUAUUGGGUUUAAAGGGAGCGUAGAUGGGUUGGUAAGUCAGGUGUGAAAGUUUGGGGCUCAACCGUAAAAUUGCAUUUGAUACUGGCAGUCUUGAGUAGAGGUGAGGUAUGCGGAAUGCGUGGUGUAGCGGUGAAAUGCUUAGAUAUCACGCAGAACCCCGAUUGCGAAGGCAGCAUAC